AGGAAUAUUGGACAAUGGGCGCAAGCCUGAUCCAGCCAUGCCGCGUGCAGGAUGACGGUCCUAUGGAUUGUAAACUGCUUUUAUACGAGAAGAAACACUCCGACGUGUCGGAGCUUGACGGUAUCGUAAGAAUAAGGAUCGGCUAACUCCGUGCCAGCAGCCGCGGUAAUACGGAGGAUCCAAGCGUUAUCCGGAAUCAUUGGGUUUAAAGGGUCCGUAGGCGGUUUAAUAAGUCAGUGGUGAAAGCCCAUCGCUCAACGGUGGAACGGCCAUUGAUACUGUUAGACUUGAAUUAUUAGGAAGUAACUAGAAUAUGUAGUGUAGCGGUGAAAUGCUUAGAGAUUACAUGGAAUACCAAUUGCGAAGGCAGGUUACUACUAAUGGAUUGACGCUGAUGGACGAAAGCGUGGGUAGCGAACAGG
Molecule: ribosomal RNA, 422 nt
Filed under: uncultured bacterium
Lineage: Bacteria
Description: bacterial SSU rRNA
Rfam family: Bacterial small subunit ribosomal RNA
Source: RNAcentral